GAUGAACGCUGGCGGCGUGCCUAAUACAUGCAAGUCGAGCGAACGGACGAGAAGCUUGCUUCUCUGAUGUUAGCGGCGGACGGGUGAGUAACACGUGGAUAACCUACCUAUAAGACUGGGAUAACUUCGGGAAACCGGAGCUAAUACCGGAUGAUAUUUUGAACCGCAUGGUUCAAAAGUGAAAGACGGUCUUGCUGUCUCUUAUAGAUGGAUCCGCGCUGCAUUAGCUAGUUGGUAAGGUAACGGGUUACCAAGGCAACGAUGCAUAGCCGACCGGAGAGGGUGGUCGGCCACACUGGAACUGAGACAGGGUCCAGGGUACUACGGGAGGCAGCAGUAGGGAAUCUUCCGCAAUGGGCGAAAGCCUGACGGAGCAACGCCGCGUGAGUGAUGAAGGUCUUCGGAUCGUAAAACUCUGUUAUUAGGGAAGAACAUAUGUGUACGUAACUGUGCACAUCUUGACGGUACCUAAUCAGAAAGCAACGGCUAACUACGUG
Molecule: ribosomal RNA, 497 nt
Filed under: uncultured bacterium
Lineage: Bacteria
Description: partial 16S ribosomal RNA
Rfam family: Bacterial small subunit ribosomal RNA
Source: RNAcentral